Long non-coding RNA from Psammomys obesus (fat sand rat), 174 nucleotides. RefSeq lists it as uncharacterized. The record is from RefSeq and is a predicted model, not a curated record. The transcript is spliced from 3 exons. NCBI's taxonomy places the organism in Eukaryota, Metazoa, Chordata, Mammalia, Rodentia, Muridae.
CACGCCGUGACCAUACACUUGCAUGCUGGGACUGAGCACAGGUCCUCAUGCUUACAAGAUGUCAUUGUUUGGAAUUAAAGGUGUGUACCAAAGGCUUGUCUGUAUUCCAGCCAGAGGGACUAAAGCUGGUCCAUGCUCCUGCUGCCUCUACUUCCUCAUCAGGGAAGACUUUAC